GUCUUGGUAGUGUAAGGAAGAAGAGCACAGUCCCCGGAAAGGACAAGCACGGGUUCGAGUCCCGUCCGAGGCU
Non-coding RNA from Haemonchus contortus (barber pole worm), 73 nucleotides. The record is from Rfam. NCBI's taxonomy places the organism in Eukaryota, Metazoa, Nematoda, Chromadorea, Rhabditida, Trichostrongylidae.